RNAcentral lists this ribosomal RNA (253 nucleotides) under uncultured bacterium. RNAcentral describes it as "partial 16S ribosomal RNA". It matches the Rfam family "Bacterial small subunit ribosomal RNA", at positions 524 to 776 of the family's 1533-position model. The record is from RNAcentral.
UACGGAGGGUGCAAGCGUUAUCCGGAAUCACUGGGUUUAAAGGGUGCGUAGGCGGAUAUAUAAGUCAGAGGUGAAAGCUUGGAGCUUAACUGUUAAAUUGCCAUUGAUACUGUUGGGCUAGAAUCAGGUUGAGGUCAGCGGAAUGUGACAUGUAGCGGUGAAAUGCAUAGAUAUGUCAUAGGACACCAAUUGCGAAGGCAGCUUGCUGGGCUUUGAUUGACGCUGAGGCACGAAAGCGUGGGGAGCUAACAGG